AGUCAACGAAACAGUUGUGGUAGAACUAAUUGCAACAGAAUUUUUAUUUACACUGCGCGAAAGUACCUACAUUUAUGUACAUUAUGUAAAAAGUCCUGCUCAUUUUACUAUGUAAUAAGUCGGGCAAAGGAGUUUAAAAAUGAAAAAUACCAAGUUUUUAAAGAUGUCACGUACGGAACACCAUACCCGAGAAUUUUGACUGUCACGCGCUGAAAUCGAUGACGUCAUUGUAAAAGUAUCAUGGCGGCACCCGUGUAAAAUUUUGAAAGAUUUCAAUAUCAUCGUAGAAACACCGCAUUUGGCGUGAAGAGAAGGUAGAAGAAAGCUGGUAACAAGAAGCAUUGUUUUGUGAAUAUGUAGAAUUUGGCAAUACACCGAAUUAUUGCAACACAAUGUAGAAGGCAGCUGGUAUUGAAAAGGAAGGUUUCGUGAAUGUCUAACAGGCGAUUCAGUGGAAAAGUUAAAUUAAAUGUAGAAGGCAGCUGGUAUUGAAGAGGAAGGUUUCGUGAAUGGCUAAGAUUUGGCGAUUCAGUGGAAAAGUUGAAUCAAAUGUAGAGGGCAGUUGGUAUUGAAGAAGGUUUCGUGAAUGUCUAAGUUUUGGCGAUUCAGUGGAAAAGUUGAAUUAAAUGUGAAAAACACAGACGGUUUACGAAACGCUUAAAUGUCAUGAGAAGAGAGAUUACAGCAAAGAGAUGGAGGACUGUCCUAUUUGUCAGAAAAGCAUAGUAGAUUGCGAUACACCCAUUGUUCGUCUUGGAGAGAAAGGCUGUACUGGAAUUAUCAAUGCCAACAGCAAAAGUGAACGUCCGGUAGAGGUGAAACCUGGAGAUAUAGUCCACACUCAAUGUCGGAAAGACUUUACAAGACCUCGAAAUAACUCAAAACCAUUGACGCCUAUCAUUAGUUCUCCUCAAAGAGUUCUUAGAUCUGACACUGAACAAUUUGAUUUUAAAUCAAAAUGCUUAUUUUGUGCUUCAUUUGCUAAAUGUUCUUUAUUUUCAAGAAAAAGAUCACAUGAUGUCUAU
Molecule: long non-coding RNA, 1025 nt
Organism: Mercenaria mercenaria
Lineage: Eukaryota; Metazoa; Mollusca; Bivalvia; Venerida; Veneridae
Exons: 7
Source: RefSeq, a predicted model, not a curated record